GUGAUUCAGCAAGUAGGAUGCAGCAAUGAGGUCAGACUCUCAAUCCACUCUGUGAUUUAACCUGCCUACCAAACAGCAAAAGAUCUGGGCGGCGGGGCAACCGCACCACAACAAAACACAAAUCACUGCCACCCGACCUCACGGAACCUUCCACCUCCGAUGCAUUGUAAGAGACAACUCCUGCAAUUCCUGAAGAGACCGUUGUGGGCUGCAUGCCCUGAAUACCAAAGGCGUUUUAUGUACCUACGUCUACUGCAGGCGAGAGCCCAGACUGUCUUGCAACUGUCAGGACAAGCUCCAAUGCAAGUGUGAAAGCACGGAUCCUGAGCCUGGUGCAGAGCGUCUAUCGGGGGAGUAUGAGGAGAGGUGGUGUAAACCUGCUCCCAGGCUUGGCUCCAACACCCUCCCACCCAUAGUUCUUCUCCUCUUUGUUUUUCCACUUGUACUUACCCAGUUCUAAGGAUCCAGAGAAGCUUCUCGAAGCCUACAAUGCUACUUGAGGUAAGUU
Molecule: long non-coding RNA, 508 nt
Organism: Peromyscus eremicus (cactus mouse)
Lineage: Eukaryota; Metazoa; Chordata; Mammalia; Rodentia; Cricetidae
Exons: 3
Source: RefSeq, a predicted model, not a curated record